AUGGUGAAGAGCAUGAAGAAUCACAAGCUCAAUGCCUUAAAGCCAUCCUCAGAAGGGGUUCCUGUCCCCUCAUUCGCCUCCAGGCAACAGAUGCAGCAGCCAGAUUACCAGGAGGUUGGAGGAGCUGGAGCCCAGUCCCUCUGGGCACUGGAGAGCGAUGGAGACACAGGCCACCUGACCCUGUCUUCUACUCCAGAAGAGCGUACACCCGUGAAUGCGAGCCUCAUGUUGAGUGUGUCCUCAGACCCCUCUCCUCAAAGCUGGGCCCUCGGGCCAGCAGGCUCCACCUGGUCAGGGAGCUUGUUGGAAUCGCAGGGUCUCAGGGCCCCACCCAGAGAUCCCGAGUCAGAAUCUGCCUUUUAACAGCCUCUCAGGCGGCGUGUGUGCACAGUCACAGCCAAGGUUUGUUCUGGAUCUCAUCACCGUGAUAGACAAGCUCCCCUCUGACCUCCAACUUUUCUCCGCCGUUUAGGGAAGCCUGAGAACCCAGUCCCCCCGAAAACACACCCUUUGAAGUAGAGCCCACUUUUCCUAUUUGGCCCAGAGGGAAGUGGGUAGGUAUCUUCUUGCCUCUUAGUUCUUCUUCCUUAAAACCCUCGGCUCCCAGAAGCCCCCGCAGUGUCAGGCCUGGGUCUGGUCAAGCUAACAAGUUGGCUUGGUUUUUUGUUUUUUUUUAAAAUUUAUUUUAUUUUUAUUAUUUUAAAAAUUCUUUUAUCCCCCCUCUUGCGGCUUUUUGUGUGCUGCCCGCUCUCUGUGUCCAUCUGCAGAGCAUUCUUCUGUGUCUGUCUUUAUUUUUAUUGAUUUCCCCUCCCCCCCUUGCGGCUUGCUUGCUAUCUGCUCUCUGUGUCCGUUCGCUGUGCGUGCUUCAGCGUUUUUUGCUUGUCUCCCUUUUUGUUGAAUCACCUUACUGAGGCGGCUCUCUGCGGCGCUUGUGGGCUGGGCGGCUCUCCAUGGCGUGUGGGUGAGCCUGCCUUCCCAAGGAGGCCCCGGGACACGAACCCAGGGCCCCCCAUAUGGUAGAGGGCAACCCAACUGAUUGAGCCAUGGCCAC
This 1051-nucleotide long non-coding RNA is filed under the name Dasypus novemcinctus (nine-banded armadillo). RNAcentral's name for it is "lncRNA (ENSDNOG00000052977.1)". The record is from RNAcentral. Lineage: Eukaryota; Metazoa; Chordata; Mammalia; Cingulata; Dasypodidae.